UGACCGUCGUGCGCGCCGCUGCGACAUGAGCAGCGACGACGACGACCUGUAGCGCACCAUCACCGUCCGCCGCCACAGCCGCCGACUUGGGUCCAACGACGGAGGCAGCACCACACAGCGGCCCGCGACGCGGUUUCCGGCGGCGGGACGACCAUGAGUUUUGAAACGCCCUGAAAAUCGCAACAGUCUCGCUAAGUCCUUUCGCUGUACACAACUACAUGGACCAAAUGGGAUUUUCAUAUAUUUUCAAAAACAAACAUAACUCAUUUUAUUUCUUAAUAAAUUGUUCGAAUAAUAUAAAAUAUAUAUAUGAUGUAUAUAAUAUGGACAUCAUAUGAAGGUAUGUAACAUUUCGCUCUUCUAUCGAUUAUCAUCGAUUUAUAUAUGACGAGGUACUGCAGUUCAACAUUACUUCGUACAAAAAAAAAUAGUCAGCAACUACGAUCUUUUCGAUAGCUAAUUCUACGAUAUUGUAAAUAACUUAUUUAUUCGGUUAAUAUUUUUAGUUAAUCCAUUAAUUACGAAUUUAAAAAUAUAAAAAUAAAUUAUUUUAAAUUAUGUAACGAAAUUUUACUAUAUUUAAACAUAAUAUAUAAUUUAUAUCAAAAACGCGUAGCUAUAUUGUAUCUUAAAUCACUUGCUAAGGUGCACAUCAUGUAGAUAAAUUAUUGUUUUUUUUUUUUUUUAAACGUGGCUGUGAUAAAAUAAUUUUUUGCGAUCCCUAUACUUUUUUUCCUUGGGUUUUAUCUAAAAUGUUGUCUAACAAAUACCGUGGGACCUACAACUACAGGGCCAGCAAUUAACUUUUUAUUGGAAAAAAUGCAUAGUUGAAAUAUAAAUUUAUUGUUUUUCAAUAUACUAUAAUUAUUUCCUAUUUAUAUUAUUUUACUACUACAGCAUAUUAUGCAAACAUUCAACUUAACUUUACUAACAAAAAUGAUUUUUCGUUGAAACUGUACUAUAACAUUAUAGUGAAUUAUAAAUAUACAAUAAAUAACUUUUACGUGUGCUUAAUACUUUUGUAUAUGAACUUAUACUAUGAUAAUACAUGAACCAUACGGAUUUUUAUUUUAGAAAAACGUAUCUAUUAACAUAACUGCACAUAGCAGAUACAUUAAUUUACUUUACACGUACUUGUUGUAUAAAUCACUAUAUGUUUUUUUAAAUUAUUGUGUCUAUAUAGAUUAAUUUAUACAAAUAAACUCAAUUUUUUAUACAUACACAACUUAUAUAUACGUGACGACUAUACGUGACUUUAUGACUAUUAUAUUAUAUACUAUUAUUACUACUGUACUACUGUAAAAUAUAUAAACAAUAUCAUACUAUAAUUUAUUAUACUUUACUUCUAUACAUAUUGUAUGACAAUUGACGAUGUCAAUAGUUUUACAUGACUAUAGUAUUAGAUUUAAAACCAUAUUGUACCAACCAAUUUAACUUUAAAUACAACAAUUCAAAUGUAAGUCUCAAUUUAAACAUAUAGGUAAUAUGGUGACAAUCUAUAUAUAAACACAAACUUGAGUACUCGACAUACACCUACGCUCGAAUUAAAUAGAAAUAUAUAACUUCACAUACCACAUUACCUAAGUACUGCUAAUAUACAUUAUAUAAAAUAUCCAUAAUAAUUGAUCACAAUAAUUAUUUUAUGGAUAUUUAUGUAUAUUCUAUUUAUAUUCAACCUUUAACCUUUAACCUGUUCACAAAAUCAACGACUACGUUCAGAACUCUUUUGAAAAAGAUUUAUAACGUACAUUUUCUAAACUAAUAACGAUGAAAUGUAUAUACAAUUUACUACAUAUUUUACAUGCACUUCUACGUAUACCUAUACAAAUAUGGAUGAUCUGUAUGGCGGCUGCACUUAACAAGUUUACAUUAACAUAAUUUAUAUUUAUAAUCACUAUGUAAUUAUAUAUAUUUGUUAUAAUUAGUAUAAGAAGACCACGAUCAAUUGUAAUAGCAUUAUUGCACGCUUUUACAGUAAGUUUAUUCUAUGUACGUGGUUUGUCCCGAAAACGAUGAUUCAUCAAGCGAUAAGCAUGAUCAUCUUUAUUUACCGUCUUUUCUUAUAGUAAUUCAUUUAUAUAAUUAUUCUACUAUAAUACAUCUAUAUUUACCUACAACAUUAUGCCUUUACAUAGUUAUAUAGAAUUCGGCAGUUCGUGUACACACGCGUCAAUGUUAAUUUACUGACUUUGAAAUUUCACUUUGGGCUUUCACUUAGAUCCCAGUUCCCCCUUCCGACCGGGUAUAGAACGCAAAAAUGAAAACUUAGAUAGAAAGUGGGUCGCAAGGUCAUUAACAUGUGCAAGUAGAUCUCCACAUAAGCCAUUUUUAUCAAUUUAAAACAUGCCUAUAUGCUAUAUGGUAUAAUACAUACCUCUAUUGCAUAUAUAAAAAUUAAUAUACAUUUCGCGUAUCUAACCUAUUAUAAUAUUUCAAUGAGUCGAUUUUUCAACUCAUUGUACCUAAUAUUAUAUUGUCUGAUCGGACUUUCCCAUCAUAAUAAGUAUCAUAUGCAGUCAGGCGUCAUUCAUAAGUUCACUCAAACAAUGUAUCAAGCAUAUUGAUUAUUCAUUGUCUAUGAUAUAAAUCUCGCUUAAACGAUUUGUAAUUUUAGGAAUUUCGUACAAAUGAAAACCACCCUAAUAUACGCAUAUAUUAUAAAUAUUAUAAUCUUUAAAAAAAUAAUAUUAUAUUAUUAAAGAUACUAUCGUCAAAUUGGUACAAAAUUACAAAAAUCUUGUUGGCUCUAUAUCAACAAGAUUAUUUCAAAUCUAACAUAGUUUUUUAUCAAUAUGAUUGUGUUUUUUCGGUGUAAUCUGUUUUAGACGUUCACCACGCAGACACCGAACGGAAGAAUACAAACGCGUAUACCAGGUACAUUAUACUUACACGACUUAACUAUGCAAGUUCUUUGACUAUUGCACAGCAACAUAAACUGAACGAAAUAAACGCACAUAUCACAUCCAAUUAUUUCUAGUUUUAACAUUUACAACUGAUUUUACGACUAACAGCGAUUACUUAUAUUAUAUUUAUGUAAAUCAUAAAAUACAAAUAUAUACAGAAACA
Rhopalosiphum maidis (corn leaf aphid) is the source of this 3066-nucleotide long non-coding RNA. RefSeq lists it as uncharacterized. The record is from RefSeq and is a predicted model, not a curated record. The transcript is spliced from 2 exons. Lineage: Eukaryota; Metazoa; Arthropoda; Insecta; Hemiptera; Aphididae.